GUGGAAUAUUUUUAUUAUGCAAGAGUUAAAUAUAUUAAUUCACUCGAGUGGCUUCCCUUUGGGGAUUAGAAAAGCUCUGGAAAACACAAGCACGUCUAGCAAAAUAUCCUGGUGAUCUUAUGUGUUCCAUCACAGUGGAUGUGAACAUGCUGGUUGUGAAAUCCCUGAUCGGGAGCUCCAAACAAAGGUAGUGUGGCUCUCUGAGCGGAUUCUCUCCCCUUAACAUGAGUAAAAGUAGGCUUCAAAGAAAUGUUGAAAAAAAAGCAGGA
RNAcentral lists this long non-coding RNA (269 nucleotides) under Anas platyrhynchos platyrhynchos (common mallard). Its description in RNAcentral is "lncRNA (ENSAPLG00000024893.1)". Lineage: Eukaryota; Metazoa; Chordata; Aves; Anseriformes; Anatidae. The record is from RNAcentral.